This is a non-coding RNA of Salmo salar (Atlantic salmon), 54 nucleotides long. The record is from Rfam. NCBI's taxonomy places the organism in Eukaryota, Metazoa, Chordata, Actinopteri, Salmoniformes, Salmonidae.
UGCACUCACUAUUGUAAGUCGCUCUGGAUAAGAGAGUCUGCUAAAUGACUAAAA